RNAcentral lists this ribosomal RNA (795 nucleotides) under Segatella copri. RNAcentral describes it as "bacterial SSU rRNA". It matches the Rfam family "Bacterial small subunit ribosomal RNA", at positions 454 to 1251 of the family's 1533-position model. The record is from RNAcentral. Lineage: Bacteria; Pseudomonadati; Bacteroidota; Bacteroidia; Bacteroidales; Prevotellaceae.
AGUCUCGUGAGACUUUUUGCAUGUACCUUAUGAAUAAGGACCGGCUAAUUCCGUGCCAGCAGCCGCGGUAAUACGGAAGGUCCGGGCGUUAUCCGGAUUUAUUGGGUUUAAAGGGAGCGUAGGCCGGAGAUUAAGCGUGUUGUGAAAUGUAGACGCUCAACGUCUGCACUGCAGCGCGAACUGGUUUCCUUGAGUACGCACAAAGUGGGCGGAAUUCGUGGUGUAGCGGUGAAAUGCUUAGAUAUCACGAAGAACUCCGAUUGCGAAGGCAGCUCACUGGAGCGCAACUGACGCUGAAGCUCGAAAGUGCGGGUAUCGAACAGGAUUAGAUACCCUGGUAGUCCGCACGGUAAACGAUGGAUGCCCGCUGUUGGUCUGAAUAGGUCAGCGGCCAAGCGAAAGCAUUAAGCAUCCCACCUGGGGAGUACGCCGGCAACGGUGAAACUCAAAGGAAUUGACGGGGGCCCGCACAAGCGGAGGAACAUGUGGUUUAAUUCGAUGAUACGCGAGGAACCUUACCCGGGCUUGAAUUGCAGAGGAAGGAUUUGGAGACAAUGACGCCCUUCGGGGCCUCUGUGAAGGUGCUGCAUGGUUGUCGUCAGCUCGUGCCGUGAGGUGUCGGCUUAAGUGCCAUAACGAGCGCAACCCCUCUCCUUAGUUGCCAUCAGGUCAAGCUGGGCACUCUGGGGACACUGCCACCGUAAGGUGUGAGGAAGGUGGGGAUGACGUCAAAUCAGCACGGCCCUUACGUCCGGGGCUACACACGUGUUACAAUGGCAGGUACAGAGAGAUGGU